Molecule: ribosomal RNA, 496 nt
Filed under: uncultured bacterium
Lineage: Bacteria
Description: partial 16S ribosomal RNA
Rfam family: Bacterial small subunit ribosomal RNA
Source: RNAcentral
GAUGAACGCUGGCGGCGUGCCUAAUACAUGCAAGUCGAGCGAACGGACGAGAAGCUUGCUUUUCUGAUGUUAGCGGCGGACGGGUGAGUAACACGUGGAUAACCUACCUAUAAGACUGGGAUAACUUCGGGAAACCGGAGCUAAUACCGGAUAAUUUUUGAACCGCAUGGUUCAAAAGUGAAAGACGGUCUUGCUGUCACUUAUAGAUGGAUCCGCGCUGCAUUAGCUAGUUGGUAAGGUAACGGCUUACCAAGGCAACGAUGCAUAGCCGACCUGAGAGGGUGAUCGGCCACACUGGAACUGAGACACGGUCCAGACUCCUACGGGAGGCAGCAGUAGGGAAUCUUCCGCAAUGGGCGAAAGCCUGACGGAGCAACGCCGCGUGAGUGAUGAAGGUCUUCGGAUCGUAAAACUCUGUUAUUAGGGAAGAACAUAUGUGUAAGUAACUGUGCACAUCUUGACGGUACCUAAUCAGAAAGCCACGGCUAACUACGUG